Molecule: long non-coding RNA, 481 nt
Organism: Heterocephalus glaber (naked mole-rat)
Lineage: Eukaryota; Metazoa; Chordata; Mammalia; Rodentia; Bathyergidae
Source: RefSeq, a predicted model, not a curated record
UCAGGUAGGACAGAGCCCAGAUCCGUGGCGAUCCCACCUUUGCAUUUCCAUGGAAAUCAAGGCCCACAGAAGAAGAAACACAGAUUCUGAAAGGAAGAGAGAAAAAGGCAGACUAGCUAGAGAGCUUGGGGCCUGAGGAACACACAACAUGUAGCUGUCAUGAGGUGAACAGGUUUCAUCCACUAUGUGCCAUGAUGUACUGUCUUUCCACCAACUCAGAAGCAACAGAGCCAACUGACCAUGGACUGAAACCUCUGAAACUAUGAGCCAAAAUAAACUUUUCAUCCUUUAAGUUGAUUUUCUCAGGUAUUUUGUCACGAUAAUGACAGGCUGAUGAAUACAUAAACUUAUAGCAAGACUAUCAAAGAAACAAAGAGAAGACACAAAUUACCAGUAUUAGGAAUUAAAAGGCAUAUCGUUACAAACCCUGAGUACAUCAAAGGACUAAUAAGGAGAAUUAUGAAAAGUCUCUAUACACAAA